This 2921-nucleotide ribosomal RNA is filed under the name Staphylococcus aureus. RNAcentral describes it as "23S ribosomal RNA". It matches the Rfam family "Bacterial large subunit ribosomal RNA". The record is from RNAcentral. Lineage: Bacteria; Bacillati; Bacillota; Bacilli; Caryophanales; Staphylococcaceae.
UUAAGUUAUUAAGGGCGCACGGUGGAUGCCUUGGCACUAGAAGCCGAUGAAGGACGUUACUAACGACGAUAUGCUUUGGGGAGCUGUAAGUAAGCUUUGAUCCAGAGAUUUCCGAAUGGGGAAACCCAGCAUGAGUUAUGUCAUGUUAUCGAUAUGUGAAUACAUAGCAUAUCAGAAGGCACACCCGGAGAACUGAAACAUCUUAGUACCCGGAGGAAGAGAAAGAAAAUUCGAUUCCCUUAGUAGCGGCGAGCGAAACGGGAAGAGCCCAAACCAACAAGCUUGCUUGUUGGGGUUGUAGGACACUCUAUACGGAGUUACAAAGGACGACAUUAGAUGAAUCAUCUGGAAAGAUGAAUCAAAGAAGGUAAUAAUCCUGUAGUCGAAAAUGUUGUCUCUCUUGAGUGGAUCCUGAGUACGACGGAGCACGUGAAAUUCCGUCGGAAUCUGGGAGGACCAUCUCCUAAGGCUAAAUACUCUCUAGUGACCGAUAGUGAACCAGUACCGUGAGGGAAAGGUGAAAAGCACCCCGGAAGGGGAGUGAAAUAGAACCUGAAACCGUGUGCUUACAAGUAGUCAGAGCCCGUUAAUGGGUGAUGGCGUGCCUUUUGUAGAAUGAACCGGCGAGUUACGAUUUGAUGCAAGGUUAAGCAGUAAAUGUGGAGCCGUAGCGAAAGCGAGUCUGAAUAGGGCGUUUAGUAUUUGGUCGUAGACCCGAAACCAGGUGAUCUACCCUUGGUCAGGUUGAAGUUCAGGUAACACUGAAUGGAGGACCGAACCGACUUACGUUGAAAAGUGAGCGGAUGAACUGAGGGUAGCGGAGAAAUUCCAAUCGAACCUGGAGAUAGCUGGUUCUCUCCGAAAUAGCUUUAGGGCUAGCCUCAAGUGAUGAUUAUUGGAGGUAGAGCACUGUUUGGACGAGGGGCCCCUCUCGGGUUACCGAAUUCAGACAAACUCCGAAUGCCAAUUAAUUUAACUUGGGAGUCAGAACAUGGGUGAUAAGGUCCGUGUUCGAAAGGGAAACAGCCCAGACCACCAGCUAAGGUCCCAAAAUAUAUGUUAAGUGGAAAAGGAUGUGGCGUUGCCCAGACAACUAGGAUGUUGGCUUAGAAGCAGCCAUCAUUUAAAGAGUGCGUAAUAGCUCACUAGUCGAGUGACACUGCGCCGAAAAUGUACCGGGGCUAAACAUAUUACCGAAGCUGUGGAUUGUCCUUUGGACAAUGGUAGGAGAGCGUUCUAAGGGCGUUGAAGCAUGAUCGUAAGGACAUGUGGAGCGCUUAGAAGUGAGAAUGCCGGUGUGAGUAGCGAAAGACGGGUGAGAAUCCCGUCCACCGAUUGACUAAGGUUUCCAGAGGAAGGCUCGUCCGCUCUGGGUUAGUCGGGUCCUAAGCUGAGGCCGACAGGCGUAGGCGAUGGAUAACAGGUUGAUAUUCCUGUACCACCUAUAAUCGUUUUAAUCGAUGGGGGGACGCAGUAGGAUAGGCGAAGCGUGCGAUUGGAUUGCACGUCUAAGCAGUAAGGCUGAGUAUUAGGCAAAUCCGGUACUCGUUAAGGCUGAGCUGUGAUGGGGAGAAGACAUUGUGUCUUCGAGUCGUUGAUUUCACACUGCCGAGAAAAGCCUCUAGAUAGAAAAUAGGUGCCCGUACCGCAAACCGACACAGGUAGUCAAGAUGAGAAUUCUAAGGUGAGCGAGCGAACUCUCGUUAAGGAACUCGGCAAAAUGACCCCGUAACUUCGGGAGAAGGGGUGCUCUUUAGGGUUAACGCCCAGAAGAGCCGCAGUGAAUAGGCCCAAGCGACUGUUUAUCAAAAACACAGGUCUCUGCUAAACCGUAAGGUGAUGUAUAGGGGCUGACGCCUGCCCGGUGCUGGAAGGUUAAGAGGAGUGGUUAGCUUCUGCGAAGCUACGAAUCGAAGCCCCAGUAAACGGCGGCCGUAACUAUAACGGUCCUAAGGUAGCGAAAUUCCUUGUCGGGUAAGUUCCGACCCGCACGAAAGGCGUAACGAUUUGGGCACUGUCUCAACGAGAGACUCGGUGAAAUCAUAGUACCUGUGAAGAUGCAGGUUACCCGCGACAGGACGGAAAGACCCCGUGGAGCUUUACUGUAGCCUGAUAUUGAAAUUCGGCACAGCUUGUACAGGAUAGGUAGGAGCCUUUGAAACGUGAGCGCUAGCUUACGUGGAGGCGCUGGUGGGAUACUACCCUAGCUGUGUUGGCUUUCUAACCCGCACCACUUAUCGUGGUGGGAGACAGUGUCAGGCGGGCAGUUUGACUGGGGCGGUCGCCUCCUAAAAGGUAACGGAGGCGCUCAAAGGUUCCCUCAGAAUGGUUGGAAAUCAUUCAUAGAGUGUAAAGGCAUAAGGGAGCUUGACUGCGAGACCUACAAGUCGAGCAGGGUCGAAAGACGGACUUAGUGAUCCGGUGGUUCCGCAUGGAAGGGCCAUCGCUCAACGGAUAAAAGCUACCCCGGGGAUAACAGGCUUAUCUCCCCCAAGAGUUCACAUCGACGGGGAGGUUUGGCACCUCGAUGUCGGCUCAUCGCAUCCUGGGGCUGUAGUCGGUCCCAAGGGUUGGGCUGUUCGCCCAUUAAAGCGGUACGCGAGCUGGGUUCAGAACGUCGUGAGACAGUUCGGUCCCUAUCCGUCGUGGGCGUAGGAAAUUUGAGAGGAGCUGUCCUUAGUACGAGAGGACCGGGAUGGACAUACCUCUGGUGUACCAGUUGUCGUGCCAACGGCAUAGCUGGGUAGCUAUGUGUGGACGGGAUAAGUGCUGAAAGCAUCUAAGCAUGAAGCCCCCCUCAAGAUGAGAUUUCCCAACUUCGGUUAUAAGAUCCCUCAAAGAUGAUGAGGUUAAUAGGUUCGAGGUGGAAGCAUGGUGACAUGUGGAGCUGAUGAAUACUAAUCGAUCGAAGACUUAAUCAA